This is a long non-coding RNA of Cyprinus carpio (common carp), 586 nucleotides long. RefSeq lists it as uncharacterized. NCBI's taxonomy places the organism in Eukaryota, Metazoa, Chordata, Actinopteri, Cypriniformes, Cyprinidae. The record is from RefSeq and is a predicted model, not a curated record. The transcript is spliced from 3 exons.
UGCUUAUCAUCAUUGAAGCACAGCUGUCUUUAUAAAAGAGGUCUGGUGGAGUCAGCAGUAGAUUGGAGUCUUCUGGAAACAUAAAUAUACCAUAAAUCCAGCUCUUUUGAUUCUUGUGUAUAAUGAAUUAUUGUUUAUAUUGUUCACAGAUCCAAAAGUGGUGUGAUGCAGAGGAGCAGUCAUGGCAGAAAGACAAAGAUGACACAGAGAAAACUCUGCUGAAAAUAGAGCAGGGACUAAAAGAUGUUCAGUCUGUUCUUAUACGAGCAAAGGAGAAAAAAGAAAAAGCAAUGUUGUUGAUAAAGGGAAGUGGAGAGGAAAAGCAAAGGAACACAUUACCCUGAAACUGAGGCUUUUGCUUGUAACGCCACCACUUUCAAAACCAACAUGACCGGGUUUCUCUUGAAAGCUGAGGAGCGUAAAUCUGAGCUGGAGACAUCUGUCGAUCUCUAUCGCUUCUGUGAAGAGGCCUCAUCUCUUGUCAAAGAGUGUAUGGAGUAUUUAGAACACAUCCAGAGCACAAACUCUCCCGUGUGUGUCAGCUUGAGCACACUGAAGGCUUUGAGGAGCGUUUCAAAGACUUCUC